UGUGACCUUAUUUGGAAAUAAGAUCUUUACAGAUGAAAUCAAGCUGAGGCCAUACUGGUGUCCCUGUGAGAAGAGGAGAUUUGAACACAGACACGGAGAGACACAGGAGAAAGGCCACGUGAAAGCAAAGGCAGAGACUGGCAUGAUGCAUCUACAAGCCAAAGAAGGUCAAGAAUUACUGGCAACUACCAGAAACUAGAAGAGACAAGGAAGCUUCCUCCUCUAGCACCUGCAGGGAGAGCAUGGCCCUGCUGCCACCUUGAUUUCAGACUUCCAGCCUCCAGAACUGAGACAGGGCUUCGGAUAAGUUGGGUUGUGGCAAAAUGAAGUCACAUUUCUUGCAAAACCAGAGUUUUAUGAACUGGAUCUAUACCUGCUGCACAGGCAAACAGAGAGCUCCCUGGGGGAUACUGGGAGUCUGUCAGCACUGCUAUGAGGGUUCUGAAGCCACACACAGCACAGAGAAGCACGGAGCAUGGAAAGGACCUCAUUUUAGGGUACCUGGCUGCUGGUUGCUAAAUCCACCUGU
Long non-coding RNA from Manis pentadactyla (Chinese pangolin), 529 nucleotides. RefSeq lists it as uncharacterized. Lineage: Eukaryota; Metazoa; Chordata; Mammalia; Pholidota; Manidae. The transcript has 3 exons. The record is from RefSeq and is a predicted model, not a curated record.